Molecule: ribosomal RNA, 227 nt
Filed under: uncultured bacterium
Lineage: Bacteria
Description: partial 16S ribosomal RNA
Rfam family: Bacterial small subunit ribosomal RNA
Source: RNAcentral
CGACGUAGGUAACCUGCCUGGUAGCGGGGGAUAACUAUUGGAAACGAUAGCUAAUACCGCAUAAUAUUAAUUAUUGCAUGAUAAUUAAUUUGAAAGGUGCAAUUGCACCACUACCAGAUGGACCUGCGUUGUAUUAGCUAGUAGGUGAGGUAACGGCUCACCUAGGCGACGAUACAUAGCCGACCUGAGAGGGUGAUCGGCCACACUGGGACUGAGACACGGCCCAG